CCCAUUCUUGGAGCAGAUAAUCGAGUAAAGUUCUCAAGUAUAAGUUCACACCCAGUAUGUUUCUGCCAUUAUCAGCGUGGUUUAGUAGCUCUCAUGAAUUUCUUUCGAGCCUGGUAUGCUCUAGAGAUGUCUCCAUGACGAUAAUCUUCAGUGUAGCAGAACAACUCUCAUCAAUGUGUUCGCACGUCUCCUCAGUCCAUGCAGCCAGCUUUUCUGCCAACUUCUCUUCGUGUCUCCCAUAAAGUCGACGUCAACAAGAAAGGGCAAGUCUGAACGUACCUCGAAGCCUCAGCAUUAAGCUGAUGACAGGUAGUUCUUCCACUGUAUGCCCUUUCAGAUUCUGGAAACUGACCAGUGAACUCAGGUCUUUGGGCAGCAGCGGUAUCUCCAACUUACACAGAUUCCCGAACCAAAGACUUAAGCCAAUCUCCAUAUAGGGCGGCAGCCCCUCCAUCACAUUGAUCCACCAACAGAAUUCUGCCCAGUUACCUUGGAUCCACCAGCCGCAACAAGCUCGUGGUACAAACCAACAUUCCACCUGGAAUCCAACCGGUUUUCUGUGGCCUCAUCCUGUCUUUGGAAUAACAGACCACUCUUAUGCAAGUGUCCUGUGCCAAGUGCUUGGUGAGUGGAUGUUUACAAUGCUGUGUGUAUGGGAGCGAGUUAGAGCAAUUUGCACUUGUUCUCUGCCUACUGGGCAUCAAUAAAUCAACACUUUCCACAUAUAA
Long non-coding RNA from Camelus dromedarius (Arabian camel), 728 nucleotides. RefSeq lists it as uncharacterized. The transcript is spliced from 2 exons. The record is from RefSeq and is a predicted model, not a curated record. NCBI's taxonomy places the organism in Eukaryota, Metazoa, Chordata, Mammalia, Artiodactyla, Camelidae.